ACUCCUACGGGAGGCAGCAGUGGGAAUUUUGCGCAAUGGGGGAAACCCUGACGCAGCAACGCCGCGUGAGUGAUGAAGGCCCUUGGGUCGUAAAGCUCUGACAGAGGGAAAGAAGUGUAGAGUGGCUAAUAUCCACAUUACUUGACGGUACCCUCAAAGGAAGCACCGGCUAACUCCGUGCCAGCAGCCGCGGUAAUACGGGGGGUGCAAGCGUUGUUCGGAUUUAUUGGGCGUAAAGCGCGUGUAGGCGGUUUUAUAAGUCUGAUGUGAAAGCCCUGGGCUCAACCCGGGAAGUGCAUUGGAUACUGUAAGACUUGAAUACGGGAGAGGGCGGUGGAAUUCCUAGUGUAGGAGUGAAAUCCGUAGAUAUUAGGAGGAACACCGGUGGCGAAGGCGGCUGCCUGGACCGAUAUUGACGCUGAGACGCGAAAGCGUGGGUAGCAAACAGGAUUAGAUACCCUGGUAGUCCACGCCGUAAACGAUGAGAACUAGGUGUCGCGGG
This 502-nucleotide ribosomal RNA is filed under the name uncultured Geobacter sp. Its description in RNAcentral is "bacterial SSU rRNA". It matches the Rfam family "Bacterial small subunit ribosomal RNA", at positions 335 to 829 of the family's 1533-position model. The record is from RNAcentral. Lineage: Bacteria; Pseudomonadati; Thermodesulfobacteriota; Desulfuromonadia; Geobacterales; Geobacteraceae.